RNAcentral lists this ribosomal RNA (1010 nucleotides) under Sticta globulifuliginosa. RNAcentral describes it as "partial large subunit ribosomal RNA". It matches the Rfam family "Eukaryotic large subunit ribosomal RNA", at positions 77 to 1104 of the family's 3401-position model. The record is from RNAcentral. Lineage: Eukaryota; Fungi; Ascomycota; Lecanoromycetes; Peltigerales; Lobariaceae.
GCCUCAGUAACGGCGAGUGAAGCGGCAACAGCUCAAAUUUGAAAUCUGGCCCUCUCGGGGUCCGAGUUGUAAUUUGUAGAGGGUGCUUCGGGCGCGAUGCCGGUCUAAGUUCCUUGGAACAGGACGUCGUAGAGGGUGAGAAUCCCGUAUGCGACCGGCGAUCAAGCCCGUGCGAAGCCCCUUCGACGAGUCGAGUUGUUUGGGAAUGCAGCUCAAAAUGGGUGGUAAAUUUCAUCUAAAGCUAAAUACCGGCCAGAGACCGAUAGCGGACAAGUAGAGUGAUCGAAAGAUGAAAAGCACUUUGGAAAGAGAGUCAAACAGUACGUGAAAUUGUUGAAAGGGAAGCGCUUGCAAUCAGACCGGUCCGGAGGCGAUCAGCCGCUGCUCGUCAGCGGUGCACUCGCCUGCGAUCCGGCCAGCAUCGGUUUGGGCGGCGGGAUAAAAGUCCCGGGAAUGUAGCUUCUCCCGGGGAGUCUUAUAGCCCGGGUCGCAAUGCCGCCCGCCCGGACCGAGGACCGCGCUUCGGCUAGGAUGCUGGCGUAAUGGUUGCAAGCGACCCGUCUUGAAACACGGACCAAGGAGUCUAACAUCCAUGCGAGUGUUUGGGUGUCAAACCCAGGCGCGGAAUGAAAGUGAACGGAGGUGGGAACCCGUCAGACGGCGCACCAUCGACCGAUCCAGAUGUCUUCGGAUGGAUUUGAGUAUGAGCAUGGCUGUUGGGACCCGAAAGAUGGUGAACUAUGCCUGGAUAGGGUGAAGCCAGAGGAAACUCUGGUGGAGGCUCGCAGCGGUUCUGACGUGCAAAUCGAUCGUCAAAUCUAGGCAUAGGGGCGAAAGACCAAUCGAACCAUCUAGUAGCUGGUUCCUGUCGAAGUUUCCCUCAGGAUAGCAGUAACGUUUUCAGUUUUAUGAGGUAAAGCGAAUGAUUAGAGGCCUUGGGGCUGAAACAGCCUUAACCUAUUCUCAAACUUUAAAUAUGUAAGAAGUCCUUGUUACUUAGUUGAACGUGG